GAUGAAGAACGUAGUGAAAUGCGAUACUUGGUGUGAAUUGCAGAAUCCCGUGAACCAUCGAGUCUUUGAACGCAAGUUGCGCCCGAAGCCAUUAGGCCGAGGGCACGCCUGCCUGGGCGUCACACGUCGUUGCCCCCCCAUCUACUCCUUCGGGAUUGCGGGGGGCGGAUGAUGGCCUCCCGUGCGCCUCGCCGCGCGGUUGGCAUAAAUGCCAAGUCCUCGGCGACGCACGCCACGACAAUCGGUGGUUGCGAAACCUCGGUUGCCCGUCGUGUGCGGUCGUCGCGCAUCGAGGGCUCGAAAAAAUUGCCGAGUUCCGGCUCGGCUUUCAACGCGACCCCAGGUCAGGCGGGGUUACCCGCUGAAUUUAAGCAUAUCAAUAAGCGGAGGA
This 391-nucleotide unclassified non-coding RNA is filed under the name soil metagenome. RNAcentral describes it as "partial contains 5.8S ribosomal RNA, internal transcribed spacer 2, and large subunit ribosomal RNA". The stretch from base 1 to 122 matches the Rfam family "5.8S ribosomal RNA", at positions 35 to 154 of the family's 154-position model. The record is from RNAcentral.